AUGAGCUAUAGGUUUAGCUGGUUUGUUGGAUGCCAGGUCUUUCUUGUCAUUUUUGACAACCUUUUGAUUUGUAUCUUGAGCCACAUUUUCUACUUCUUGUCUUUUCAAUGUGAGAAUACCAGACACGAAAUGAUGCAUAUGCAUUGUGAUACCUGGAUCACUUUAAAUUCAGGAUUAUUCAUGGCUAAUUCAGGAUUGAAGCAGGGGAAACCCCCCUCCUCCAUAUUGCCUGCUGAUUAUUUGGGGAUGUCUGUGGAGAGAGAUGUUGAUACUUCUAUAGGCCUAUCACUUCAAAUUUUAUUACAACCAGUUUUAUGCCUAGAACAAUCAUGGUGUCUAGUUUCUGUUUUAUGCCCCACGUUUUACUAG
RNAcentral lists this ribosomal RNA (369 nucleotides) under Triticum aestivum (bread wheat). RNAcentral's name for it is "partial small subunit ribosomal RNA". Lineage: Eukaryota; Viridiplantae; Streptophyta; Magnoliopsida; Poales; Poaceae. The record is from RNAcentral.